RNAcentral lists this ribosomal RNA (232 nucleotides) under uncultured bacterium. Its description in RNAcentral is "partial 16S ribosomal RNA". It matches the Rfam family "Bacterial small subunit ribosomal RNA", at positions 1272 to 1500 of the family's 1533-position model. The record is from RNAcentral.
CCCCAAAAAACGGAACGUCUCAGUUCGGAUUGUAGUCUGCAACUCGACUACAUGAAGCUGGAAUCGCUAGUAAUCGCGAAUCAGAAUGUCGCGGUGAAUACGUUCCCGGGUCUUGUACACACCGCCCGUCACACCAUGGGAGUUGGGAAUGCCCGAAGCCGGUGACCUAACCGAAAGGGAGGAGCCGUCGAAGGCAGGCUUGAUAACUGGGGUGAAGUCGUAACAAGGUAUC